Molecule: long non-coding RNA, 560 nt
Filed under: Phoenix dactylifera (date palm)
Lineage: Eukaryota; Viridiplantae; Streptophyta; Magnoliopsida; Arecales; Arecaceae
Description: long non-coding RNA (PDAC_LNC001158)
Source: RNAcentral
CUAAAUCUUGCUAAAAUUGCUGAGAAAAUCAAUUUAAGCAGCGUAAUUGGGGGAAACAAAAACCUUAAACUGAGAAUUACGCUGUUUUUUAUUCAAAGCAAUAAGACCCAGUUCAAUCAAGAAGCCGAGCAAACGGAAGAGAAGAAGAAUCCAAGAACCGUGCGCAGAUCAAGAAACAAACACAAUACCUCUGGGGAAGCCGGCUUAAGUGGCUAUCAAGUUGAUUUAGGAGGUCGGGAUUCGAGGUGGCCUCCUCGUUCCCGCUCUCGAGUAGCCUCGAGUAGAUAUCGUGGAUGAUGUCGUGGCCGACGAAGGCCCUCGCCGGCGACGAGCUCUCGCCUUCCCCUUCCUCCAUCUCCGGCGACAAUCGAACUAGGAGCAGCCCAUCGAUUCCAAGAACUCCGCGCUCAAGCCAAGCUAGGGUUUUAGAGAGAGAAGGAGAGUGGAGAAAGAGAGAGAGAGGGCGAGGGGAUCUUUGACGGUUAAGAGAAUCCCCUCCUGAGAUAGAGGGUUAACAAUUUUAUAUAGCUGGCGGAAGACCGCUGCGAAUUAGGUGGGAA